UUAAGCGACUAAGCGUACACGGUGGAUGCCCUGGCAGUCAGAGGCGAUGAAGGACGUGCUAAUCUGCGAUAAGCGUCGGUAAGGUGAUAUGAACCGUUAUAACCGGCGAUUUCCGAAUGGGGAAACCCAGUGUGAUUCGUCACACUAUCAUUAACUGAAUCCAUAGGUUAAUGAGGCGAACCGGGGGAACUGAAACAUCUAAGUACCCCGAGGAAAAGAAAUCAACCGAGAUUCCCCCAGUAGCGGCGAGCGAACGGGGAGCAGCCCAGAGCCUGAAUCAGUGUGUGUGUUAGUGGAAGCGUCUGGAAAGGCGCGCGAUACAGGGUGACAGCCCCGUACACAAAAAUGCACAUGCUGUGAGCUCGAUGAGUAGGGCGGGACACGUGGUAUCCUGUCUGAAUAUGGGGGGACCAUCCUCCAAGGCUAAAUACUCCUGACUGACCGAUAGUGAACCAGUACCGUGAGGGAAAGGCGAAAAGAACCCCGGCGAGGGGAGUGAAAAAGAACCUGAAACCGUGUACGUACAAGCAGUGGGAGCACGCUUAGGCGUGUGACUGCGUACCUUUUGUAUAAUGGGUCAGCGACUUAUAUUCUGUAGCAAGGUUAACCGAAUAGGGGAGCCGAAGGGAAACCGAGUCUUAACUGGGCGUUAAGUUGCAGGGUAUAGACCCGAAACCCGGUGAUCUAGCCAUGGGCAGGUUGAAGGUUGGGUAACACUAACUGGAGGACCGAACCGACUAAUGUUGAAAAAUUAGCGGAUGACUUGUGGCUGGGGGUGAAAGGCCAAUCAAACCGGGAGAUAGCUGGUUCUCCCCGAAAGCUAUUUAGGUAGCGCCUCGUGAAUUCAUCUCCGGGGGUAGAGCACUGUUUCGGCAAGGGGGUCAUCCCGACUUACCAACCCGAUGCAAACUGCGAAUACCGGAGAAUGUUAUCACGGGAGACACACGGCGGGUGCUAACGUCCGUCGUGAAGAGGGAAACAACCCAGACCGCCAGCUAAGGUCCCAAAGUCAUGGUUAAGUGGGAAACGAUGUGGGAAGGCCCAGACAGCCAGGAUGUUGGCUUAGAAGCAGCCAUCAUUUAAAGAAAGCGUAAUAGCUCACUGGUCGAGUCGGCCUGCGCGGAAGAUGUAACGGGGCUAAACCAUGCACCGAAGCUGCGGCAGCGACACUAUGUGUUGUUGGGUAGGGGAGCGUUCUGUAAGCCUGUGAAGGUGUACUGUGAGGUAUGCUGGAGGUAUCAGAAGUGCGAAUGCUGACAUAAGUAACGAUAAAGCGGGUGAAAAGCCCGCUCGCCGGAAGACCAAGGGUUCCUGUCCAACGUUAAUCGGGGCAGGGUGAGUCGACCCCUAAGGCGAGGCCGAAAGGCGUAGUCGAUGGGAAACAGGUUAAUAUUCCUGUACUUGGUGUUACUGCGAAGGGGGGACGGAGAAGGCUAUGUUGGCCGGGCGACGGUUGUCCCGGUUUAAGCGUGUAGGCUGGUUUUCCAGGCAAAUCCGGAAAAUCAAGGCUGAGGCGUGAUGACGAGGCACUACGGUGCUGAAGCAACAAAUGCCCUGCUUCCAGGAAAAGCCUCUAAGCAUCAGGUAACAUCAAAUCGUACCCCAAACCGACACAGGUGGUCAGGUAGAGAAUACCAAGGCGCUUGAGAGAACUCGGGUGAAGGAACUAGGCAAAAUGGUGCCGUAACUUCGGGAGAAGGCACGCUGAUAUGUAGGUGAAGCGACUUGCUCGUGGAGCUGAAAUCAGUCGAAGAUACCAGCUGGCUGCAACUGUUUAUUAAAAACACAGCACUGUGCAAACACGAAAGUGGACGUAUACGGUGUGACGCCUGCCCGGUGCCGGAAGGUUAAUUGAUGGGGUUAGCGCAAGCGAAGCUCUUGAUCGAAGCCCCGGUAAACGGCGGCCGUAACUAUAACGGUCCUAAGGUAGCGAAAUUCCUUGUCGGGUAAGUUCCGACCUGCACGAAUGGCGUAAUGAUGGCCAGGCUGUCUCCACCCGAGACUCAGUGAAAUUGAACUCGCUGUGAAGAUGCAGUGUACCCGCGGCAAGACGGAAAGACCCCGUGAACCUUUACUAUAGCUUGACACUGAACAUUGAGCCUUGAUGUGUAGGAUAGGUGGGAGGCUUUGAAGUGUGGACGCCAGUCUGCAUGGAGCCGACCUUGAAAUACCACCCUUUAAUGUUUGAUGUUCUAACGUUGACCCGUAAUCCGGGUUGCGGACAGUGUCUGGUGGGUAGUUUGACUGGGGCGGUCUCCUCCUAAAGAGUAACGGAGGAGCACGAAGGUUGGCUAAUCCUGGUCGGACAUCAGGAGGUUAGUGCAAUGGCAUAAGCCAGCUUGACUGCGAGCGUGACGGCGCGAGCAGGUGCGAAAGCAGGUCAUAGUGAUCCGGUGGUUCUGAAUGGAAGGGCCAUCGCUCAACGGAUAAAAGGUACUCCGGGGAUAACAGGCUGAUACCGCCCAAGAGUUCAUAUCGACGGCGGUGUUUGGCACCUCGAUGUCGGCUCAUCACAUCCUGGGGCUGAAGUAGGUCCCAAGGGUAUGGCUGUUCGCCAUUUAAAGUGGUACGCGAGCUGGGUUUAGAACGUCGUGAGACAGUUCGGUCCCUAUCUGCCGUGGGCGCUGGAGAAUUGAGGGGGGCUGCUCCUAGUACGAGAGGACCGGAGUGGACGCAUCACUGGUGUUCGGGUUGUCAUGCCAAUGGCACUGCCCGGUAGCUAAAUGCGGAAGAGAUAAGUGCUGAAAGCAUCUAAGCACGAAACUUGCCCCGAGAUGAGUUCUCCCUGACUCCUUGAGAGUCCUGAAGGAACGUUGAAGACGACGACGUUGAUAGGCCGGGUGUGUAAGCGCAGCGAUGCGUUGAGCUAACCGGUACUAAUGAACCGUGAGGCUUAACCUU
RNAcentral lists this ribosomal RNA (2901 nucleotides) under Escherichia coli ECC-1470. RNAcentral describes it as "bacterial LSU rRNA". It matches the Rfam family "Bacterial large subunit ribosomal RNA". The record is from RNAcentral. Lineage: Bacteria; Pseudomonadati; Pseudomonadota; Gammaproteobacteria; Enterobacterales; Enterobacteriaceae.